This 1071-nucleotide long non-coding RNA is filed under the name Bos indicus x Bos taurus (hybrid cattle). RNAcentral's name for it is "lncRNA (ENSBIXG00000021910.1)". The record is from RNAcentral. Lineage: Eukaryota; Metazoa; Chordata; Mammalia; Artiodactyla; Bovidae.
AUGGGGACAGGAGACAUCCACGGAGCACGCGGACAGCACACGGAUGGGGACAGGAGACAUCCACCGAGCACGCGGACAGCACACGGAUGGGGACAGGAGACACCCACCGAGCACGCGGACAGCACACGGAUGGGGACAGGAGACACCCACCGAGCACGCGGACAGCACACGGAUGGGGACAGGGGACACCCACCGAGCACGCGGACAGCACACGGAUGGGGACAGGGGACACCCACCGAGCACGCGGAGAGCACACGGAUGGGGACAGGGGACAUCCACCGAGCACGCGGACAGCACACGGAUGGGGACAGGGGACAUCCACCGAGCACGCGGACAGCACACGGAUGGGGACAGGGGACAUCCACCGAGCACGCGGACAGCACACGGAUGGGGACAGGGGACAUCCACCGAGCACGCGGACAGCACACGGAUGGGGACAGGGGACACCCACCGAGCACGCGGACAGCACACGGAUGGGGACAGGGGACACCCACCGAGCACGCGGACAGCACACGGAUGGGGACAGGGGACAUCCACCGAGCACGCGGACAGCACACGGAUGGGGACAGGGACAUCCACCGAGCACGCGGACAGCACACGGAUGGGGACAGGGGACAUCCACCGAGCACGCGGACAGCACACGGAUGGGGACAGGGGACAUCCACCGAGCACGCGGACAGCACACGGAUGGGGACAGGGGACACCUACCGAGCACGCGGACAGCACACGGAUGGGGACAGGGGACACCCACCGAGCACGCGGACAGCACACGGAUGGGGACAGGAGACAUCCACCGAGCACGCGGACAGCACACGGAUGGGGAGGGGCUUUGGAGUCAUUCAGAUCCACCUCCAUCAGUACACCACACAUCUGCUAAGCCUUAACGUUCACGUCUGUAAAACGGGCCAACACUCACCCUCCCUCCUGCCCAGGGUGCAGCCGAGAGGAUUAGGAAAGCCUGGGGUGGUGGAUGAGCUUUUCCUCAGAGGCCCCGGUGGUAGGCGCCUAGGUAGAGAGGCCUUUCUGGGCCUUCUAGUCUCUGCAGAGGGCUCCCUUCAGUCCAAGCACUAA